AAUCUAUUUGGUUUUGGUAGACUAAAGAACGAUUAAUUCAACUAGCAGUAGAUAUUUUAUAUGAGUACCAUAAAACAAUAUUGAUUAUGGGUGUUAGUAGUGAGUGUUUUUCUAUGAGUGAAAGCUCGAUUAGGGGAUUAAUUUUUUUAGAGGCGGAUACUUGUGCCAGCAGCUGCGGUUAUACCUGAUCUUAUCUUUAUGCUAGGGAUCUUGGAAAUUUUUUAAAAUAAAGAAAAAAAAGCUGAACUAAUGGUUAAAUAGGUUUAGUAGUAAAACAAAUUCUUUAUACAGAAAUUCCUAAAAUUGGAUUUAAAACUGAGAUUAGAUACCUCAUUAUUCCAAAGGUAAAUUAAAACCCAUAGUAGUAGUAAACCGAAACUUAAAGGACCUGGCGGCAAUCUUUCUCACCGGGGGAGCGUGACGCGUAAUAGAUAAUCCGCGUAAUAAUUCACCUUUUCUUUUUAGUUAGUGUACGGCCGUUUUAAGUCUACCUUUUGAGAGAAGAAAAGAGGGCGUUACUGUUUUAGUCAAGGCAGGUCAUUGUGCUGCUUAUGAAAAGAGGGUUAGUUUCGCUAUUUUGAUUAGAAAAAAGGAAUAAAGGUGUAAAAGUAUAGGAAUUAAGACUCGGAAGUAAUAAAUAAUUAGUAAGUAUUUGUGAAUAUUGGGAGUUCAGGGUUGAGUACAUACCGCCCGUCAUUCUUUUCUAAUAGAAAAGAAAAGUCGUAACAAGGUAACCUCAACUGAAGUUGAGGUUUACUUAGU
RNAcentral lists this ribosomal RNA (762 nucleotides) under Enchiridium sp. MTA_2015. Its description in RNAcentral is "12S ribosomal RNA". The record is from RNAcentral. Lineage: Eukaryota; Metazoa; Platyhelminthes; Polycladida; Prosthiostomidae.